GCAGAUAUUCACAUUGCCCAACGACACACUUCUCUAUCCUGCUCAUGACUAUAAGGGCUUCACCGUUUCUACUGCUGGGGAGGAGAUGCUGUACAAUCCUCGCUUGACGAAGGAUGAGGAAACAUUCAAGAGCAUCAUGGAAAGUGAGUAAACUGCGCCAAAUUAUAUUCCAUGCUUUUUAUCUGGAAGAAUUACAUGCAUACCACUUCAUUCUUAUGUAUUUACAUAUCUAACACCUAAACUUCAAUUUCUUACUUCUAUGCCACCUUACCUUUACACGAAGAGGUGUAUUUCACUUUUUAUAAUUUAAAAUAAUGAUUUUUUUGAUGUUAUAAGAAAGAUUUUGGAUGCCAUAAAUGUAACAAGUAUAGG
Phalaenopsis equestris is the source of this 372-nucleotide long non-coding RNA. RefSeq lists it as uncharacterized. The transcript has 3 exons. Lineage: Eukaryota; Viridiplantae; Streptophyta; Magnoliopsida; Asparagales; Orchidaceae. The record is from RefSeq and is a predicted model, not a curated record.